RNAcentral lists this transfer RNA (49 nucleotides) under Cyanoptyche gloeocystis. RNAcentral describes it as "partial Selenocysteine transfer RNA". The record is from RNAcentral. Lineage: Eukaryota; Glaucocystophyceae.
CGGAAGGGGCGCGGGAGAGGCGGGGAUGGGGGUUCAAUUCCUCUUCGCU